GAUGAACGCUAGCUACAGGCUUAACACAUGCAAGUCGAGGGGCAUCGAGGGUAGCAAUACCGCUGGCGACCGGCGCACGGGUGAGUAACACGUAUCCAACCUACCAUUCACUCGGGGAUAGCCUUUCGAAAGAAAGAUUAAUACCCGAUAGUCUAGGAAUAAAGCAUUUUAUUUUUAGUAAAGAAUUUCGGUGUUUGAUGGGGAUGCGUUCCAUUAGAUUGUUGGUGAGGUAACGGCUCACCAAGUCUUCGAUGGAUAGGGGUUCUGAGAGGAAGGUCCCCCACAUUGGAACUGAGACACGGUCCAAACUCCUACGGGAGGCAGCAGUGAGGAAUAUUGGUCAAUGGGCGAGAGCCUGAACCAGCCAAGUAGCGUGAAGGACGAAGGCCCUACGGGUCGUAAACUUCUUUUAUAGGGGAAUAAAGUGGAGAACGUGUUCUCCUUUGUAUGUACCCUACGAAUAAGGAUCGGCUAACUCCGUG
This 482-nucleotide ribosomal RNA is filed under the name uncultured bacterium. Its description in RNAcentral is "bacterial SSU rRNA". It matches the Rfam family "Bacterial small subunit ribosomal RNA", at positions 28 to 507 of the family's 1533-position model. The record is from RNAcentral.